CCUGGAACUCACUCUGUAGACCAGGCUGGCCUCAAACUCACAGAGAUCCCCCUGCCUCUGCCUCCUGAGUGCUGGGAU
This 78-nucleotide microRNA precursor is filed under the name Cricetulus griseus (Chinese hamster). RNAcentral describes it as "miRNA (ENSCGRG00001004397.1)". The record is from RNAcentral. Lineage: Eukaryota; Metazoa; Chordata; Mammalia; Rodentia; Cricetidae.